Molecule: transfer RNA, 85 nt
Filed under: Marinifilum breve
Lineage: Bacteria; Pseudomonadati; Bacteroidota; Bacteroidia; Marinilabiliales; Marinifilaceae
Also listed under: 1 other name
Description: tRNA-Leu
Rfam family: tRNA
About the family: Transfer RNA (tRNA) molecules are approximately 80 nucleotides in length. Their secondary structure includes four short double-helical elements and three loops (D, anti-codon, and T loops). Further hydrogen bonds mediate the characteristic L-shaped molecular structure. tRNAs have two regions of fundamental functional importance: the anti-codon, which is responsible for specific mRNA codon recognition, and the 3' end, to which the tRNAs corresponding amino acid is attached (by aminoacyl-tRNA synthetases). tRNAs cope with the degeneracy of the genetic code in two manners: having more than one tRNA (with a specific anti-codon) for a particular amino acid; and 'wobble' base-pairing, i.e. permitting non-standard base-pairing at the 3rd anti-codon position.
Source: RNAcentral
GCCCAGGUGGCGGAAUUGGUAGACGCGCUGGUCUCAAACACCAGUGGGGCAACCCGUGCCGGUUCGAUCCCGGCCCUGGGUACUA